Molecule: long non-coding RNA, 243 nt
Organism: Talpa occidentalis (Iberian mole)
Lineage: Eukaryota; Metazoa; Chordata; Mammalia; Eulipotyphla; Talpidae
Exons: 3
Source: RefSeq, a predicted model, not a curated record
UCGACUCAGGAGCUGCUCCUCAUUACGGCACACCUUGUCCUGUGCAUAGAGGCCUUCAGGCAUCACCCUCUGUUGACCCAUCCCCAUCAGAGCAACUUCCAGGGCCAAUGACAGAAUGUGAGCACCUAAAAAGGAAGAGACUUUAUUUUAUUGCCCUAAGUAUUUCCAGCACCUGGUAUGUGAAAGGAUUAGGCAUAAGGUCAUCAACCAGCUGCAAGGUUACGUGGUCUUACUCAAGCUGCC